This 128-nucleotide small nuclear RNA is filed under the name Camelus bactrianus (Bactrian camel). RNAcentral's name for it is "U4 spliceosomal RNA". It matches the Rfam family "U4 spliceosomal RNA". From Rfam's summary of the family: U4 small nuclear RNA (U4 snRNA) is a component of the major U2-dependent spliceosome. The structure of U4 snRNA from yeast and human has been reported. The record is from Rfam by way of RNAcentral. RNAcentral also lists the same sequence under 1 other name. Lineage: Eukaryota; Metazoa; Chordata; Mammalia; Artiodactyla; Camelidae.
AGCUUUGCUCAGGGAUAGUAUCAUAGCCAAUGAGGUUUAUGUGAGGCGUGAUUAUUGCUAAUUGUGUGUGAAACUUUUGAAAAUUGUAAAGCACUGUAGAAUUUAAAGAAUCUUUCAUUCAAUAAAAA